Molecule: RNA transcript, 1086 nt
Organism: Galeopterus variegatus (Sunda flying lemur)
Lineage: Eukaryota; Metazoa; Chordata; Mammalia; Dermoptera; Cynocephalidae
Gene name: peroxisome proliferator-activated receptor gamma pseudogene
Exons: 1
Source: RefSeq, a predicted model, not a curated record
AGUAGAAAUAAAUGUCAUACUGUCGGUUUCAGAAGUGCCUUGCUGUGGGGAUGUCUCAUAAGGCCAUCAGGUUUGGGCGGAUGCCACAGGCCGAAGAGAAGCUAUCGGUGGAGAUCUCCAGUGAUAUCGACCAGCCGAACCCAGAGUCUGCUGAUCUCCCGGCCCUGGCAAAACAUUUGUGUGACUCAUACAUAAAGUCCUUCCCGCUGACCAAAGCAAAGGCCAGGGCGAUCUUGACAGGAAAGACAACAGACAAAUCACCAUUUGUUAUCUAAGACAUGAAUUCCUUCAUGAUGGGAGAAGACAAAAUCAAGUUUAAACACAUCACCCCCCUGCAGGAGCAGAGCAAAGAGGUGGCCAUCCGCAUGUCUCAGGGAUGCCAGUUUCGCUCUGUGGAAGCUUUGCAAGAGAUCACAGAGUACGCCAAAAGUAUUCCCGGUCUUGUGAACCUUGACUUGAAUGAUCACGUAACUCUCCUCAACUAUGGCGUCCAUGAGACCAUUUACACGAUGCUGGCCUCCUUGAUGAAUAGAGAUGGGGUUCUCAUAUCAGAGGGCCAAGGAUUCAUGAUGAGGGAAUUUCUAAAGAGCCUGCGAAAGCCCUUUGGUGACUUUAUGGAGCCCAAGUUUGAGUUUGCUGUGGAGUUCAAUGCACUGGAAUUAGAUGACAGUGACUUGGCAAUAUUUAUAGCUGUCAUUAUUCUCGGUGGAGACCUCCCAGGUUUGCUGAAUGUGAAGCCUAUUGAAGACAUACAAGAUAACCAGCUGCAAGCCCUGGAGCUCCAGCUCAAGCUGAACCACCCCGAAUCCUCCCAGCUCUUUGCCAAGCUGCUGCAGAAAAUGACAGACCUCAGACAAGUUGUCAUAGAACAUGUGCAGCUAUUGCAGGUGAUAAAGAAGACAGAGAAAGACAUGAGUCUUCACCCCCUCCUACAAGAAAUCUACAAGGACUUGUAUUAGGAGAGAAGUCCUGAUCCACUGACAACAUUUUCCUUCCAAUUGCACUAUUAUUUUGAGGGAAAACCUGACACCUAAGAAAUUUAUUGUGAAAUAGCAUUUUAAAAAGAAAGGGUUUUAGAAUAUGAUC